AAACUCAAAUGAAUUGACGGGGACCCGCACAAGCGGUGGAUGAUGUGGUUUAAUUCGAUGCAACGCGAAAACCUUACCCACCUUUGACAUGUACGGAAUUCGCCAGAGAUGGCUUAGUGCUCGAAAGAGAGCCGUAACACAGGUGCUGCAUGGCUGUCGUCAGCUCGUGUCGUGAGAUGUUGGGUUAAGUCCCGCAACGAGCGCAACCCUUGUCAUUAGUUGCUACAUUUAGUUGGGCACUCUAAUGAGACUGCCGGUGACAAACCGGAGGAAGGUGGGGAUGACGUCAAGUCCUCAUGGCCCUUAUAGGUGGGGCUACACACGUCAUACAAUGGCUGGUACAAAGGGUUGCCAACCCGCGAGGGGGAGCUAAUCCCACAAAGCCAGUCGUAGUCCGGAUCGUAGUCUGCAACUCGACUACGUGAAGUCGGAAUCGCUAGUAAUCGUGGAUCAGAAUGUCACGGUGAAUACGUUCCCGGGUCUUGUACACACCGCCCGUCACACCAUGGGAGCGGGUUCUGCCAGAAGUAGUUAGCCUAACCGCAAGGAGGGCGAUUACCACGGCAGGGUUCGUGACUGGGGUGAAGUCGUAACAAGGUAGCCGUAUCGGAAGGUGCGGCUGGAUCACCUCCUUU
RNAcentral lists this ribosomal RNA (635 nucleotides) under uncultured Comamonadaceae bacterium. Its description in RNAcentral is "bacterial SSU rRNA". It matches the Rfam family "Bacterial small subunit ribosomal RNA", at positions 897 to 1533 of the family's 1533-position model. The record is from RNAcentral. Lineage: Bacteria; Pseudomonadati; Pseudomonadota; Betaproteobacteria; Burkholderiales; Comamonadaceae.